UUAUUUCUAGUGGCGGACGGCGUGAGUAACACGUGGGUAAUCUGCCUUAUACAGAUGAAUAACAAUGAGAAAUCAUUGCUAAAACAUCAUAAGCUUACAGUAUCGCAUGAUAAAGUAAGAAAAAAUUUAUUGGUAUAAGAGGAGCCCGCGUCUGAUUAGCUAGUUGGAGAGGUAAAAGCUCACCAAGGCGACGAUCAGUAGCCGACCUGAGAGGGUGAUCGGCCACAUUGGGACUGAGACACGGCCCAAACUCCUACGGGAGGCAGCAGUGGGGAAUAUUGCACAAUGGAGGAAACUCUGAUGCAGCGACGCCGCGUGAAGGAAGAAGGUUUUCGGAUCGUAAACUUCUAUCAACAGGGAAGAAAAAAAUGACGGUACCUGAAUAAGAAGCACCGGCUAACUACGUGCCAGCAGCCGCGGUAAUACGUAGGGUGCAAGCGUUAUCCGGAAUUACUGGGUGUAAAGGGUGAGUAGGCGGUUUGUUAAGUCAUAUGUGAAAGCCCAAGGCUCAACCUUGGGACUGCAUAAGAAACUGAUGAACUAGAGUACAGGAGAGGUAAGCGGAAUUCUUAGUGUAGCGGUAAAAUGCGUAGAUAUUAAGAAGAACACCAGUGGCGAAGGCGGCUUACUGGACUGAAACUGACGCUGAGUCACGAAAGCGUGGGGAGCAAACAGGAUUAGAUACCCUGGUAGUCCACGCUGUAAACGAUGAUUGCUAGGUGUCGGCGUGAGAGCGUCGGUGCCGUAUUUAACACAAUAAGCAACCCACCGGGGAAGUACGACCGCCAGGUUGAAACUCA
Molecule: ribosomal RNA, 800 nt
Filed under: uncultured bacterium
Lineage: Bacteria
Description: SSU rRNA
Rfam family: Bacterial small subunit ribosomal RNA
Source: RNAcentral